GCGGUUGUCGUUCAGUUGGUAGGAUAUUCCCUUGUCACGGGAAAGAUCGCGGGUUCGAGUCCCGUCAAUCGCGCCA
RNAcentral lists this transfer RNA (76 nucleotides) under Escherichia coli. RNAcentral describes it as "tRNA-Asp". It matches the Rfam family "tRNA". From Rfam's summary of the family: Transfer RNA (tRNA) molecules are approximately 80 nucleotides in length. The record is from RNAcentral. Lineage: Bacteria; Pseudomonadati; Pseudomonadota; Gammaproteobacteria; Enterobacterales; Enterobacteriaceae. RNAcentral also lists the same sequence under 3 other names.